AAUGAACGCUGGCGGCAGGCCUAACACAUGCAAGUCGAGCGGAUGAAGGGGGAUUGCUCCUGGAUUCUGCGGGGGACGGGUGGGUAAUGCCUAGGUGUCUGACUGGACUAGGGGGCUAACGUCCGGACACGGGCGCUGAUCUAGCAUACGACCAGAUGGAGAAAGGGGGGGAUCUUCGGACAUCACGCGUUCAGCUGAGACUAGGUCGGAUUAGCUAGUUGGUGGGGUAAAGGGGUACCAAUGCGACGAUCCGUAACUGGUCUGAGAGGAUGAUCAGUCACACUGGAACUGAGACACGGUCCAGACUCCUACGGGAGGCAGCAGUGGGGAAUAUUGGACAAUGGGCGAAAGCCUGAUCCAGCCAUGCCGCGUGUGUGAAGAAGGUCUUCGGAUUGUAAAGCACUGUAAGUUGGGAGGAAGGGCAGUAAGUUAACACCUGGCUGUUUUGACGUUACCAACAGAAUAAGCACCGGCUAACUUCGUG
This 484-nucleotide ribosomal RNA is filed under the name uncultured bacterium. Its description in RNAcentral is "partial 16S ribosomal RNA". It matches the Rfam family "Bacterial small subunit ribosomal RNA", at positions 29 to 507 of the family's 1533-position model. The record is from RNAcentral.